Molecule: ribosomal RNA, 468 nt
Filed under: uncultured bacterium
Lineage: Bacteria
Description: partial 16S ribosomal RNA
Rfam family: Bacterial small subunit ribosomal RNA
Source: RNAcentral
GACGAACGCUGGCGGCGUGCUUAACACAUGCAAGUCGAACGGAAAGGCCCUGCUUUUGUGGGGUGCUCGAGUGGCGAACGGGUGAGUAACACGUGAGUAACCUGCCCUUGACUUUGGGAUAACUUCAGGAAACUGGGGCUAAUACCGGAUAGGAGCUCCUGCUGCAUGGUGGGGGUUGGAAAGUUUCGGCGGUUGGGGAUGGACUCGCGGCUUAUCAGCUUGUUGGUGGGGUAGUGGCUUACCAAGGCUUUGACGGGUAGCCGGCCUGAGAGGGUGACCGGCCACAUUGGGCCUGAGAUACGGCCCAGACUCCUACGGGAGGCAGAAGUGGGGAGUAUUGCACAAUGGGCGGAAGCCUGAUGCAGCAACGCCGCGUGCGGGAUGACGGCCUUCGGGUUGUAAACCGCUUUCGCCUGUGACGAAGCGUGAGUGACGGUAAUGGGUAAAGAAGCACCGGCUAACUACGUG